GAAUUUUAUAAAUUUAAUGUAAAUGAUUAGUUUAUUUAAAUAUAUUUUAUUGGGAGGAUAUUUAAAUUGGAAAAACUUUAAUAAUAAUAGAACAUAAAUUAAUGAUUUUAAAAAUGAAUGAAUAAUAUUUUAUUAAGAAUUAAUUACCUUAGGGAUAACAGCAUGAUAUUUUUUUGUAGUUCUUAUAUAAAAGAGUGGUUGU
RNAcentral lists this ribosomal RNA (202 nucleotides) under Hypoponera sp. MI15.02. Its description in RNAcentral is "partial large subunit ribosomal RNA". Lineage: Eukaryota; Metazoa; Arthropoda; Insecta; Hymenoptera; Formicidae. The record is from RNAcentral.